CUUUUAUGGACCUGUAUUAGUUAAAUCAUGAUCUGUGAUCAUCAGUUUUAACUGCAGGAUAUGAAAGUGGAUUUCCUUCUAUUAAAUGUUAUAGAAGUGGAGUUCUGCGGGAUUUCAUUUUACAACAUUUUUUAAAAAUAUUAUGAUCAAAGUUUUAGAAGACAAGGAAAAAAAAAUCGCGAAUUUAGACAUUUUAGAUCUGUCCGAUUCCCUUUAAAUAGCCGAUGUUAUUAUAGGUGCUGUUUGCAACAAAAAAGGUGGGGAAUAACUUCCAUAAGUAAUCAGUGUACUAGGUAAAUAAUCGUGAUACGGAACAUAAUUAUAUUUACACUAAUUGACGUAUAUGUAACAUGCCGGGAUAUGGUGGGUUUAUUCAAUAUUUAACUACUUAGGAGGUCAAGGGUCAUAGAGUAAGUGUGUAUAUAACAGAACAUGUACAGAACCAAAGAAGCAGUAGAGUUUGUAUAGAACCAGGCACUUUACAUUGUAUAUAUAGUUGAUUUAAAAAGAUAUUCAAAAUGAAGAUUGUAUUUGCUGCGGUCAUCUGCAUGCUUGUUAUUAUGGUUAUUGAACCCAUCGACUCGUAUUGCUUUGCCGGACGUCCUAAAGUUUCAAUGACAGGAGGUAAAUUUGAGGUCUUCUGCGACAGUCCACAUGGUAUCAUGAAGCCUGGUCAAGUUAUCAGAGAUAAUUGUGAAGAAUGUCGUUGUACAUUUCGAAAUUUCAACUGUUGUGGAAUUGGUUAUAAUGCUGGUUCAUUUAAGAUACCCGGAUGUAAGAUAAAGAAACUGGAUAACUGUUGCUACCAAUUUGUAAAGAGCAGUAACUCAUCUAUUCCUUGUACUGAAGUGGAAUGUCCCACGCCAUAUAAACCAUGAGACCACAUUUAAUCGAGAAAGAUAUCAAAUGACUAAAUAUGUUUCAGUCGACCAGUCAGAAAACAUUGUGAUUGAAUAAACAAAUAUUUUCUGAUAUAAA
This is a long non-coding RNA of Patella vulgata (common limpet), 978 nucleotides long. RefSeq lists it as uncharacterized. The transcript is spliced from 4 exons. Lineage: Eukaryota; Metazoa; Mollusca; Gastropoda; Patellidae. The record is from RefSeq and is a predicted model, not a curated record.